This 497-nucleotide ribosomal RNA is filed under the name uncultured bacterium. RNAcentral describes it as "partial 16S ribosomal RNA". It matches the Rfam family "Bacterial small subunit ribosomal RNA", at positions 29 to 523 of the family's 1533-position model. The record is from RNAcentral.
UUGAACGCUGGCGGCAGGCCUAACACAUGCAAGUCGAGCGGCAGCGCGGGGCAACCUGGCGGCGAGCGGCGGACGGGUGAGUAACGCGUAGGAUUCUACCCAGUAGCGGGGGAUAGCCCGGGGAAACUCGGAUUAAUACCGCAUACGCCCUAAGGGGGAAAGCAGGGGAUCGUAAGACCUUGCACUAUUGGAAGAGCCUGCGUUGGAUUAGCUAGUUGGUAGGGUAAAGGCCUACCAAGGCGACGAUCCAUAACUGGUCUGAGAGGAUGAUCAGUCACACCGGAACGGAGACACGGUCCGGCCUCCUACGGGAGGCAGCAGUGGGGAAUAUUGGACAAUGGGGGCAACCCUGAUCCAGCCAUGCCGCGUGUGUGAAGAAGGCCGUCGGGUUGUAAAGCACUUUAAGUGGGGAGAAAGGUUCGGCAGCUAAUACCUGCCGGAAGUGAUGUUACCCACAGAAUAAGCACCGGCUAACUCUGUGCCAGCCGCCGCCGUAA